This 138-nucleotide ribosomal RNA is filed under the name uncultured bacterium. Its description in RNAcentral is "partial 16S ribosomal RNA". It matches the Rfam family "Bacterial small subunit ribosomal RNA", at positions 355 to 509 of the family's 1533-position model. The record is from RNAcentral.
UGGGGAAUAUUGCACAAUGGGGGGAACCCGUGAUGCAGCGACGCCGCGUGAGUGAAGAAGUAUUUCGGUAUGUAAAGCUCUAUCAGCAGGGAAGAUAAUGACGGUACCUGACUAAGAAGCCCCGGCUAACUACGUGCC